RNAcentral lists this ribosomal RNA (439 nucleotides) under uncultured bacterium. RNAcentral describes it as "bacterial SSU rRNA". It matches the Rfam family "Bacterial small subunit ribosomal RNA", at positions 1037 to 1482 of the family's 1533-position model. The record is from RNAcentral.
GGUGCUGCAUGGCUGUCGUCAGCUCGUGUCGUGAGAUGUUGGGUUAAGUCCCGCAACGAGCGCAACCCUUGUCAUUAGUUGCUACGCAAGAGCACUCUAAUGAGACUGCCGGUGACAAACCGGAGGAAGGUGGGGAUGACGUCAAGUCCUCAUGGCCCUUAUGGGUAGGGCUUCACACGUCAUACAAUGGUCGGGACAGAGGGUCGCCAACCCGCGAGGGGGAGCCAAUCUCAGAAACCCGAUCGUAGUCCGGAUCGCAGUCUGCAACUCGACUGCGUGAAGUCGGAAUCGCUAGUAAUCGCGGAUCAGAAUGUCGCGGUGAAUACGUUCCCGGGUCUUGUACACACCGCCCGUCACACCAUGGGAGUGGGUUUCACCAGAAGUAGGUAGCCUAACCGUAAGGAGGGCGCUUACCACGGUGGGAUUCAUGAGUGGGGUG